Oncorhynchus keta (chum salmon) is the source of this 630-nucleotide long non-coding RNA. RefSeq lists it as uncharacterized. Lineage: Eukaryota; Metazoa; Chordata; Actinopteri; Salmoniformes; Salmonidae. The record is from RefSeq and is a predicted model, not a curated record. The transcript is spliced from 3 exons.
CUCUACAUCUCUCCAGGAGCAGGUAGAAAUACAACACCCAGAGCAGUACUCUACAUCUCUCUAGGAGCAGGUAGAAAUACAACACCCAGAGCAGUACUCUACAUCUCUCUAGGAGCAGGUAGAAAUACAACACCCAGAGCAGUACUCUACAUCUCUCUAGGAGCAGGUAGAAAUACAACACACAGAGCAGUACUCUACAUCGCUGUAGGAGCAGGUAGAAAUACAACACCCAGAGCAGUACUCUACAUCUCUCUAGGAGCAUGUAGAAAUACAACACCCAGAGCAGUACUCUACAUCUCUCUAGGAGCAGGUAGAAAUACAACACCCAGAGCAGUACUUUACAUCUCUCUAGGAGCAGGUAGAAAUACAACACCCAGAGCAGUACUCUACAUCUCUCUAGGAGCAGGUAGAAAUACAACACACAGAGCAGUACUUUACAUCUCUCUAGGAGCAGGUAGAAAUACAACACACAGAGCAGUACUCUACAUCUCUCUCUAGGAGCAGGUAGAAAUACAACACACAGAGCAGUACUCUACAUCUCUCUCUAGGAGCAGGUAGAAAUACAACACACAGAGCAGUACUCUACAUCUCUCUCUAGGAGCAGGUAGAAAUACAACACACAGAGCAGUA